CCCUGAUAAUCUGUCAGUAUCUUUCAUCACCCCCAGAUGGGACCAUCUAGUUUCAGGAAAACAAACAAGCUCAGGACUCCCACUGAUUGUACAUUAUGCUUCCCUGAUCUGCUGAGACCUGUGUUUGCUCUCCCUGCAGAUGGGUGGAAGCACCUAAGCUGAAGAGUCCCUUGAGAACAAGUACUAUCCUGUGGUUUCAUAAACUUUCUUCCAUUUAUGGUUCUUGCCAAGUUAAAUUUAAAUUACAUCUUAUGAAGAUGGAUAAACCCAAGUUUUCCAGAGCUGGAAUAUAGAAAAUGGAUGUACCUAUAAGUCCUACUCACCCAUAGCCAAGGCAUGGAGACCUCAACACACCUGGGCCCUAGACAUCACCUUUUAUUGUGAGUAGCUCUGAGAUAACACUUCUGGUUGGUAAGUGCCCACUGGCCAUAGUUUAUGUAACAGCAAGUGAAGGAAUGAAGAGUCAACAAAAUAUUUUCUGUUCCCAAUUCUAGCAUGAAUUUGAUUAGAUAACUAUUCUAUGAAGAAUUUUCAUAUGCCACAGUUCUGACCAAAUUCUCAAGUGAACUGAAAAAUUAUAUUUAAAAGUCAACCUUCUUUCUCACUCUGUUGCCCAGACUGGAGUGCAGUGGUGCAAUUAUGGCUCAGUGCAGCCUCAACCUCCUGGGCUAAAGCAGUCCUUCCU
This 685-nucleotide long non-coding RNA is filed under the name Callithrix jacchus (white-tufted-ear marmoset). RNAcentral describes it as "lncRNA (ENSCJAG00000073235.1)". The record is from RNAcentral. Lineage: Eukaryota; Metazoa; Chordata; Mammalia; Primates; Cebidae.